UCUAGUUUGCCAUUAAAAUUGCAUGUACAUUGACUUUGUGGCUUGAAAAUCUCAGCAAAUCAGCCUAAUAUUGACAACAACAUUAGAUCUAGUGUAUUAUAUCAAAAUAUAUAUUGAUUGAGAGAGAGAGAAAGUGUAUUCAUUUGCUCAUUUUUCAAAUAGCACCUGGAGUUCUGUUUCCAGCUGCCACCGUAUCCUCAACUGCUACGAUAUCUUGAACGACCAUAAUGAAGACACUUACGGUUUAUUUCGUUGUCGCCUAUAUCUUGCUGUCAUUUCUCGUAUUCACAUUCCUUAUCUCAUUUCUUCUUCUUUCACCUUAUACUCUUUCAUCUUAUACUCCAUCGAUUCAUAAAUAAAACCUUCGCUAUACAUCAUUGAAUUGAGACAAUUGGAAGAGAUAUGUCUCUUCUGCCCUCAACAAAGCACACAAACUUUUUCUUUAUCUCAUUUUCCUUUUAUCGUAUAGGUGAUAAAAGUUAUCUUUUGCCCUUUCUGUUAUCCUAACUUUCA
RNAcentral lists this long non-coding RNA (513 nucleotides) under Panax ginseng (ginseng). Its description in RNAcentral is "long non-coding RNA (PGIN_LNC006626)". The record is from RNAcentral. Lineage: Eukaryota; Viridiplantae; Streptophyta; Magnoliopsida; Apiales; Araliaceae.